Molecule: ribosomal RNA, 253 nt
Filed under: uncultured bacterium
Lineage: Bacteria
Description: partial 16S ribosomal RNA
Rfam family: Bacterial small subunit ribosomal RNA
Source: RNAcentral
UACGGAGGGUGCAAGCGUUAUCCGGAUUCACUGGGUUUAAAGGGUGCGUAGGCGGGCAGGUAAGUCAGUGGUGAAAUCUCCGGGCUUAACCCGGAAACUGCCGUUGAUACUAUCUGUCUUGAAUAUCGUGGAGGUAAGCGGAAUAUGUCAUGUAGCGGUGAAAUGCUUAGAUAUGACAUAGAACACCCAUUGCGAAGGCAGCUUACUACACGAUCAUUGACGCUGAGACGCGAAAGCGUGGGGAGCAAACAGG